CCGCAACUGUCCCGAUAGCGGGCGCGUACCGUUGUCGUAUCGUAAUCGUAUCGUUACGAAAUUCGCUUUCUCGUCGUCGGCAAGUUAUAUAGCAAUCACGUUCGGAUUACAAGGGUCCCGGUCAACGUCGUCCGAGUCGCGAAGCGUCCCGUCGUUCCCGUCGCGGUAUCUUCGAUUCGAGCUCGAUUCAAAUCCGUUCGGCACGACACGACAGAACAUUCGGGGUCGAACAGCGUUUCAUCGGUCCGUCGGCGUCCGCCGGUAUCCGUUUAAUUGAAAUACACGUGUAUUUUUUUUUUUUUUAUGCAUACAUUAAAAUAAUUAUUGAACAAACGACGGCGUAUGUUAGUUGAUCGGUUCGAAAAAGACUCGACACGAAAUUCAAAAUUUGUAAUCGUUUUUCGUGGUAAACAACAAAACGAUUUUGUGAACGUUUUGACUCGAUAAAUCGCACGGUGCCGAACAACUGGUU
Molecule: non-coding RNA, 472 nt
Organism: Cinara cedri
Lineage: Eukaryota; Metazoa; Arthropoda; Insecta; Hemiptera; Aphididae
Source: the annotation of a GenBank genome assembly